This 57-nucleotide transfer RNA is filed under the name Bos indicus (zebu cattle). It matches the Rfam family "tRNA", at positions 8 to 63 of the family's 71-position model. Rfam says of the family: Transfer RNA (tRNA) molecules are approximately 80 nucleotides in length. Their secondary structure includes four short double-helical elements and three loops (D, anti-codon, and T loops). Further hydrogen bonds mediate the characteristic L-shaped molecular structure. tRNAs have two regions of fundamental functional importance: the anti-codon, which is responsible for specific mRNA codon recognition, and the 3' end, to which the tRNAs corresponding amino acid is attached (by aminoacyl-tRNA synthetases). tRNAs cope with the degeneracy of the genetic code in two manners: having more than one tRNA (with a specific anti-codon) for a particular amino acid; and 'wobble' base-pairing, i.e. permitting non-standard base-pairing at the 3rd anti-codon position. Lineage: Eukaryota; Metazoa; Chordata; Mammalia; Artiodactyla; Bovidae. RNAcentral also lists the same sequence under 3 other names. The record is from Rfam by way of RNAcentral.
UGUCUCAGAUGGUAGAGAAUCUGCCUGCAAUGCAGGAAACCCAGGUUCAGUCCCUGG